UGCAUCCCAGACUUCACCUUAACUCUACUUACCCCACUGAAGAAUCUUGAUGGCUUUUGCUAGUUAAUCUAUGUUUGCAGUACAGCAGGUGUCACAGGCCUACUCUAUUAAAUUUCAGAGAUGGGGCAUUUGGCCUUGUUACCUCCUCCCAGAAUAGUCCUCGGGCGAUCCUAAUUCUUGGAGAAGACACAAUUCGUCACCUUUCUUCUUCUUGGUGGAUCCAAUUCAAGAGUUGUUGCAUCAAAAAAAGAAACGCCUCCCCCUCAGCCAACCCACUGAUAAAUCUCCACCAACCUGGCUGGGCUGGUCUUCAGAAGAAGGGCCUGCAGUUCAUUACCAGGCCAGAGCUCAAAGCCUUUUCAGUUUAGCAAGACCUUCCAGAGUUUGUAUACUACUUCCAAGAAUCAAGGAUAUCCUUAAAACCCUGAGGAGAAACAGAGGUGAUUCCACCAAAGCUAUUUUCUCUGCAAGAAGUUGGAGGAGUAAUGGAGGUGUCUGCUGAAGUUUAGACCUAGAGGACGAACUUCAGGGGCAUCUGACAUUCCAGUGGCAUUGACUAAGAGUGAGAAUAAUGAGUAUUGUCUGAGACAAGUCAAGAUGUGAGCUGAAACAAGGCUAGUCCUCAGCACUGGAUUUUGAAUGAAUGUCCUGUUCUUCACCCCAGCUGCAGUGAGACCCAGCUACAUCUUGCCCUAUCAAAUAAUAAGAUUCAUGAGCUUCAAGUCUUAUGAGAGUCAUGAAACUUUUGGAGGAGUUUGUUUUCCAAGCUGCCCUGGGGAAGGGGGGGAGAAGAGAAGGACAUUGUACUCGUCAUCUAUGAAAUGAAGGGGGUUGUUCUAAAGUUUUAUAGGUUCCUUCUACUAAGGGAUAUGCUAGAUCCAACUAGAACCACUCCCAAAAGCUGAUUGCUAAAUUUUCAAUAUGAGCAUUUAAACUCUGGAAAUCAGCAAAUGAUAAGAAUCAGAUCUUAAUCUAUUGUUUUGUGGGUUGUUUAGACUUGAGAAAGU
Non-coding RNA from Phascolarctos cinereus (koala), 1007 nucleotides. The record is from RefSeq and is a predicted model, not a curated record. NCBI's taxonomy places the organism in Eukaryota, Metazoa, Chordata, Mammalia, Diprotodontia, Phascolarctidae.